RNAcentral lists this ribosomal RNA (253 nucleotides) under uncultured bacterium. Its description in RNAcentral is "partial 16S ribosomal RNA". It matches the Rfam family "Bacterial small subunit ribosomal RNA", at positions 524 to 776 of the family's 1533-position model. The record is from RNAcentral.
UACAGAGGUCCCAAGCGUUGUUCGGAUUUACUGGGCGUAAAGGGUGCGUAGGUGGUUGGGUAAGUCUGAUGUGAAAUCUCCGGGCUCAACCCGGAAAUGGCAUUGGAUACUAUUCGACUAGAGGGUUGGAGGGGGGACUGGAAUACUUGGUGUAGCAGUGAAAUGCGUAGAUAUCAAGUGGAACACCAGUGGCGAAGGCGAGUCCCUGGACAACUCCUGACACUGAGGCACGAAAGCUAGGGGAGCAAACAGG